CCUACGGGAGGCAGCAGUGGGGAAUAUUGCACAAUGGGCGCAAGCCUGAUGCAGCGACGCCGCGUGGGGGAUGAAGGCCUUCGGGUUGUAAACCCCUUUCAGCAGGGAAGAAGCGAAAGUGACGGUACCUGCAGAAGAAGCGCCGGCUAACUACGUGCCAGCAGCCGCGGUAAUACGUAGGGCGCAAGCGUUGUCCGGAAUUAUUGGGCGUAAAGAGCUCGUAGGCGGUUUGUCGCGUCUGCUGUGAAAGUCCGAGGCUCAACCUCGGAUCUGCAGUGGGUACGGGCAGACUAGAGUGUGGUAGGGGAGACUGGAAUUCCUGGUGUAGCGGUGGAAUGCGCAGAUAUCAGGAGGAACACCAAUGGCGAAGGCAGGUCUCUGGGCCACAACUGACGCUGAGGAGCGAAAGCAUGGGGAGCGAACAGGAUUAGAUACCCUGGUAGUCCAUGCCGUAAACGGUGGGCACUAGAUGUGGGGCUCUUUCCAUGAGUUCCGCGUCGCAGCUAACGCAUUAAGUGCCCCGCCUGGGGAGUACGGCCGCAAGGCUAAAACUUAAAUGAAUUGACGG
This 568-nucleotide ribosomal RNA is filed under the name uncultured bacterium. Its description in RNAcentral is "bacterial SSU rRNA". It matches the Rfam family "Bacterial small subunit ribosomal RNA", at positions 338 to 916 of the family's 1533-position model. The record is from RNAcentral.